CUUGUGGUCUUGUGGAGGGUGAUAGACUGUAAACAAAUAAUAAAUAUAAGUCCCAUAUAAUAUCCUAUAUAUGGUAGCAGGAGCUAUGCCAGUUCAAGUCAGAGCUGCUUGCCAUGACUUGCUGUGGUGGCUCCUGACUCUGAGCUUCAGUGUGUGACUUUUUUUUUUUUCUGACCACUAAGAUUAAUUAGCAAGUGUGAUGCUGAUAGAGGAUUCAGAAAUAUUCCUACUUUUCUGCUUUCUGUCUUGAAAUGCUUAUUCUUGGAACCCUGAGCCAUCAUGAGAGAGGUCUGUCUACUUGGCAGGAGAGACCACAUUGAAAAGAGGAGGAAUGUCUGGGGCUGGUUCCCAGCUGUUCCAGCCAUUUCAACAGAGAUGGUAAAAAUGUGAGUGAAAAAGCUCUGUGGAUGUUCCAGCCUAGGAGAUGCCACACGGAGCAGAAGACCUGUCCAGAUGAAUUCGACCCAGAGUGUAGGAUUCUGUGAAAUAAUAAAUCAAUGUUGCCAUUUCAUGUCAUUACAUUUGGGUGUUUUUUGAUGUAGCAGUAGGUGACAGAAGCACCAGGCAAUUUUUGAAAUCUCCAUGAACCUAAGUUUUUUGACAAUACAUUAUCUGCCACUCAAGGCUUUUUAUAGAGUAGCUGCUCAAUAAAUGCUGUUUCUGGCAUUUUCUCAGUGUGCUGUGCUUCUUCCACUUUCUUAUUUGAGGGUUAUUUAGGUCUGUCACGGAACAUUAGUCAGCUCAAGUGCUAUACUCUGAAGUUGAAGAGAUUCCUAAAGUAGGCAGAUUUUGGAAGCUCACUGGAGCAUGGAGAAACUGGAGCAGCCAUCUGGCAAAGGAUAAACUCUUGACGCCUCUGGCAUCUUUCCCUAAAAGUUUGCUUUCUUUUUCCUCCUUCUAGGAAGAUAGGCAACAGAAAAUAGCAUGGGCUGUAAGUUAGAUACAGAUUUGAAUUUUGCCUUUCCUAUUUACUGGCUAUGUUAUUUUAAAUAGUUGACUCAUUUUUCUAAGCCUCAAUUUCCUCCUUUGUAAAACAGGGAUGAUAACAGUGACUGACUCACAGGUGUGGGAGCCAAGAUGGUGAGAUGACUGCUCUCCUGAGCAGAGGUACAUGUCAGACAGUACAGGCUGAUUAUCCCUAAUCUGAAAAUCUGAAAUCCAGAAUGCUCCAAAAUCCAAAACUUUUCAAGUGCUGAUGUGAUGCCUUAAGUAGAAAAUACCACACUAUGAAACUUCAUUUUAGGCAUAAAAUUAUUUAAAAUAUUGUAUAAAAUUACUUUUAGGCUAUGUGUAUGAGGUAUAUGUGAAACAUAAAUGAAUUUCAUGUUUAGAUGUGGGUUCUAUU
Molecule: long non-coding RNA, 1345 nt
Filed under: Marmota monax (woodchuck)
Lineage: Eukaryota; Metazoa; Chordata; Mammalia; Rodentia; Sciuridae
Source: RNAcentral